AGACUGUGGCCGCCGGAAGCCACGCCCCCGGCGCCCUCAGCGCCUGCCAUGGCGGAGUUGGGCAACUUCCGGAUUCGUGAACAGGUCCCUUCCAUUGAUCGCGGCGGUGGAUAGGUUGGUGGCCAUCUUAGAACAGGAUGUGACUCAUCGUACAUUUCAUGGGGAUACCUAACGCAGUCAUUUUGGUGGUCCUGUGAGGUAGAAAAACAUUGUCCAGCUUUCCACGCGAGGAAACGUGGCUUGGCUACACGACUGGAUUCCCCAGUCCCGCUUUUGCCGAAGACUUCGAGGGACGCAUUUGGAGCGCGAGGCUCCAGCUUGGCGGUGAGGCGGCGGGCUGACUACCUUCCUUCUCCGAAGUUCAUUGAUUCGGCGUCAAGAAAGGCAUAGCCUCAUAGAGCUACAGCAUUUCCCAAAUUCUUAGUCUCAUAAAAAUGAUUGAGGGCCCCAAGCUGUUACUAAUGUGGAUUAUAGCUGUCGAUGUUACCAUAUUAAAAGUUAAAAUGCUUUAAA
This is a non-coding RNA of Callithrix jacchus (white-tufted-ear marmoset), 513 nucleotides long. NCBI's taxonomy places the organism in Eukaryota, Metazoa, Chordata, Mammalia, Primates, Cebidae. The record is from RefSeq and is a predicted model, not a curated record.